This is a non-coding RNA of Xyrichtys novacula (pearly razorfish), 6538 nucleotides long. NCBI's taxonomy places the organism in Eukaryota, Metazoa, Chordata, Actinopteri, Labriformes, Labridae. The record is from the annotation of a GenBank genome assembly.
GUUACAUGCCACAUGUGUCACCUCACCAGCAUUUCAUUACCAGGUGUGUGUUUAAUCUCUGCGUGCCCCCCUUUUAUUUUAACAAAAACAGUUUGUUAUCUUAGUGAAUUAUCCGGCUUUGGGACUUUAUCCCUCAAGGAUUCAUGUUUUCGGCCUACAGACUCUGUUUGAAGGUAAGUGAGUCCUUUUUGUGUUGGCAAUGGACACCAAUGCCUGCAUUUGGUUCCUCAUGAGUGUAUUUCCCAAGCUUAAGUGGAACAUCUUCAUUUCAGAGCUGAACAUGCAGAUUUUGAUGACAGCAGUUGAAGUUUUGAAGUGGGUUGGAUGUCUUCCUCCAUUUCUGUUGUUUUGGGCAAAAAACUAGGCCUUAGACUCUUUGAAAACCAACUUCUAGACUAAACAUGAAGACAAUUUCAAGACUGCCCAGAAGAGGUGGUCUCAGUCAGCUUCACAUCAAACCCUUGAAUCGUGAGAACGCAGAUGAAGUUACUUUACUGUUUUAUGUGUUUGUGAUGAGGAGUGCUAACUUUUCAAGUCCUUUGCUAAUCCAGUUGAUAUAUCUUGCUGGAACCAGUAGAACCCUCGCUGUAGUUUGUAUUUCUUCCACUAAAUGGACCAAAACAGAUGAAUGGUGACACAUUUCACCAUCCCAAGGUGAUGCCAGCAAGUGCUAUCAAGCCAUGUCCUCGCUGCUCAUUAGCAAACCCCAAAUGUGGAAGCGCAGCGCUCGGUAUUUAAUAAUCACACUCGCACAAAUGGGUCAUGAGGCGUGAUUUGUGCGACUCAGUCCUGUAGAACAAGCCUCAGUGAGCAAGUUUAAUCACUUUAACUUCCACUUCUGUGGGCUUCAAAGCCGCCAUGCCAGUGGUACAAAGGGACCAAAUUCUUUCGCCUGCUCUCUGCUUGUUUCUUGUCUUUGUCUCUUGAUGAGGAGGAAUUAGGGGCAGAUUACUGUGCAUCGUGGCUCACAUUUAAUGAUAUUCAUGCUUGAUGGACAGCCAGGAUCAGGUCACAAGGAUGUGGGUAUAAUCAUCAACAAAGGUGGAUAAUGAUGUGGAGAAAUGAAGUCUGUUAGUUUGCAGCUAUAGUAUGUAAAAGGGAUUGAGUGCCAUAGAUGUGCUUUGCCACAACUUUUAUUAUUUUAUCAAAUAACGUGUAUUUAGUGGAUUCUUUUGGAGGAAUAGGUCUGUAGAAAUCUUGAAUUGUUGGCGUCAGUUCAUGAAAAUUCGUGCUAGUCUGGUUUGAUGUUGAAAGAAGAUGCAGUUGCUUUCUGCUUGAUAAUAAUCCGGACAGUAAUAUUUUUUGCCUGGAAUCAAUCUGGCUACCAACUAGAUAACUUGUUCUUUCCUACCAUUUGGCAUUGCACUGGACACUAAAGGUAUUAUUCUUUUAUUUACUGAUUCACAUCAGUCAAAAAUGUGGAAAUAGUCUCCUGCAUGAAGACUUCGAUCAUUGUCAGCAAUGAGCUGUUUCUGUGUAAAUGUGUAGCUCUCGCUUGUGCCAUACAGGCCUUCUGUCAAUGACCACUUUGUUGGGACUCGUGCAGCCCACCCUUGCUCGUCACUUGACCCAAACUGUGUUUUUUUUUUUUUUAACUAGGGAUGUCCUGAUACAACUUUUUUUAAACUUCUGAUACGAUACCGAUAUUGUAGCCUUGUGUAUUGGCUGAUACCAAUAUAUCCAAUAUUAGCACAAAGUUGUUCAUGGCAAGUUCUGCACUCAGCUGCAAUGUCUAUUUCAGACUUUAAUGUAAAAUACUGCCACACGGCCGACAUCACUCCUACUCCUUGCUACUUUUUUAGUACCUUAGUACACACUGUUGUCGUGUUUAUGUGGGCUCUGCAAUCAGGUAUUUAUUGUGUUGCUUAUGUCAGACCGAUAUCCGAUAUCAAUAUUGGAUUGGGCCAUCCCUACUUUUGACUAAACCAGUAUGCCAACUAUGUUCUUGUAGUAUCUGAUUGUCUCCUUUAGCCUGGCCUCACACUGGAUGGUUUUAAGCCUAAUUUUGGUCCCAUCUCUAGUUAAACUGACGUACAGAACACAGUUUGCAUUCUACACUAUAAAAAAAGUGAACAUAAGUGUGUCUUAUAUCAAGUUUUCUUAGAGACUGAAUAAUAAAAGUCUACUAGGAAUAUGUAUCCACCACACCGUGCUGGUGUUACGUUUCUGUCUCUUAAGGUCAGGUAAACGGCGUCACAGAAUAAUAUAGUAAAAAUCCAUAGAGUUCGAUCCAGGUCAGCAGUCUUAAUCAGUUCUCCCUGUCUUAUGUUACACCUGUGUGUCUUUUAACCCUGCAGAGAUGCCCUAUGAACUCCUCAGUCCAGUUAAGAUAAUAUAAAGUUCAGUUUUGAAUCGUCACUGUGCCUUGAUCUGAGGCAGAGCUUCAAACUUAACCCUUCGCAAAACAUCCCCAGAUAUUCAUCACGUUUACACCUUGGGGAUCCAAUAUCACUCACAGGCGCCGUCGCCAGUCAGGCGCUCUGGGCCAAAAGGGAGCUAAGAUUUUAAUGAUUGUGGUAUGAAAUCAGUGCCCUGAAAUGCUCCUGAGACCUCUGAAAGCACACCAACAGGCUACUGUAUUUUCUAUGGGGCAUUACAUACGCUUUAGUGGCGGUCUGGGAAAAUGUUUUCUUUAAAUUAGCCCUUCAGGGUGCUGCUGUUAUUGCAUUAUUAUCAAAUUAGUGUAUUUUAAUUACUACGUCAUUUGAAAUGUAUGUGCCAGUAGGUCACAGUGGGGUGAGAGCAGAGACCGUGUCCAAACUCUCAGGCCGUCGAGCUCGCUGUGCAAAGUUGAGACAAGGAGAGAAGGAGAGAGAGAGAAAAAAAAAACCUUCUGUGGGCACAUCUGUGAAUUAUAUUAGCUAAUUGUGUGCACUUCUCUUUGCACUCAACACUUGGGUUGUCCUCCAAGCACAAGGAAGAAAUUAACCGCACUGCUGCCAUGUUGUUCUAUUAAAUACGUGAAGAGAAAAUACAAUUAUGAGUUAAGUGGGAACAUACCACAUGGGAUUAUGGGAGGCACAGCGUUUCAGAUUUUCAGAGUCAGUUAAUUUUUUAUGCCACGCAUGUGAACGUGUUCCCGAGCAACAUUAUUAUCAGAUGUACGUGCAAAGAAAAAGGAAAAAACGCUGCAGAUUUAAUUCAUUUGCAUUCUUAUGUCAAGUGUCUUCUAUAAAAAUUUCUGACUUUGAUCAGUUGAAAAUGGCUCCUGCUUAAUAUUUAGUCCCCAGUCUGGGUGGAGCCGGUGCUGCAGAUCUCCAAAACCUGACUGCACCAGAUUCAUUCCUGCAGCUUGAAUUACGAUAUCGAGUUGUCUGCUAGAGGCAGACAGCUCAGCCUUUUGCUUUUCCUAACAAUAAAACCACAUUUCAAAACAGAUUGUUUUGGUAAGAUGAGAGUGUGGAUGAGAAGUCCAGGAGUAUGUCUCGCUUUUACCAAAUAAGAAGCAGAAGCAGACGCAGGGUUGUGUGUUGAGUAUUUAAUGGCAUGUAUACUAUCAGAAGAUCUUUCUGGAAGUAGUGCCACACAAUGGUUUUAAAAACCUGCUCAUAUUAGGUGUUUGUGAUGAUUAUUGAGGCAUUUUUGGAUUAGGUGUUUGAAUAUCACAUUAUCUAAUGUUAUAUACAGAAGUGCUGCAGACAUUUAAGAUGGCUGCUGCUGAUAUGGAUUGCUUUAAAUCCUCUAUUGUGCCAAUAUAUUCUUUUUUAAAACAUAGAAACAAAAAGAGUUGGCUGAUAAACUAGUUUUAAGAAUAUAUUUUGCAUGGAGAGACUGACUCUUAUGUAAGUGUUGGUGAUGUUUUCUCUUGUAGUUUCAACUCUGCUAUAAUAUUCUGGCACAGGACGCUCUGAGAGCUCAUUUUGAGAAGCAAUACCCUUUUUUUUUUGUCCACAGCAGUGGCUGUUGGGAUAUUUUAACCAGGAAAUUACCCCAUCUUUGGUCACUAAGCCAACAGACUGGUUGAAGUUAACGCAGAAUGAUUUUCCUGACUUGCGAAACUGGCAUAUAUCUGCAUACCGGCACCAUUCCUGCAACCAGACAGUUGAGGAUUUGGUUGCAUUCCUGACUAUGUGCACAUACUUUUAUUUAAUCAGUAAGAACAAGCAUGCAGGAAACUGGACGUUAUGAGUCUGACAUGUGCUUAUUUUUCUGUUCACUUGUCUUGUUAUGGCGAUUUAACAUUCAGUAGUUUGCGCCUCACUCUGCAUGUCUUUUGGAGUCGUUUCUGUGAGUCUGCUUGUUAAAGGGAUAUUCCGGCGUAAAAUUAAUUUAGGGUCAAACACACCGUAACACAGAGUUAGACACCCCCCCUCGAGAGAUGAACGUUGCCAACCGCUUGCUUCUCUAGUUAUACCAACUUUAGUAACGACUGCAGGAUAGCAAUACACAGCAGUCUGAGAAGCCAUAAACAAACCUCAACCAAAACACCACUCUCUAGCCACAAAUAAUGCUCAGAACAGCACCUAACUUCAUCAACAGGACAUAUAGGGUCCCAGCCAUAGUACUAGCCACCAAACAUCUUUUUAACUUUGCCUAAUUUCUUCAGCAAAGAGACUAAACACAACUCACAUACUCUCUUAAAUCGGUGUUACGGUGUGUUUGACCCUAGAUUAAUUUUAUGCUGGAAUAUCCCUUUAAUUUUACUGCUUUGACCACAGGGGGCGCCAAAUUCAACACAAAGAAAACCGGGGGGAGCUCUAAAAGUUCAACAAAGCUCAUCCUAUUAUACCAGCUUUAAUAUAGAUCAUGUAAUUUCUCUGCUUUCUUGCCUGGAUUCAAACAAUCUCAUAUUUAAAUAUAUAUUUUUAAUGAUAUACAAAGGUCAGAAGCAACACUUGCUCCUGGUUUUUCCCACAAGUCCUGCAUUAAAAUGAUCUUUUCAUAAUGUGAUGAGUGGUGGGUGGAAAAACCAACCUACUAGUUUGACCUUUGGUGUAUAUACUGCUUUUAAAAAUCCCCUGACUCUUAUUUCCACCCUCUGCCGAGUGAGAGAUUGCUGUUUUUAAAAAUACGUGUGUGUUUUCAGUUAUAAAUGUCACUAAAUCGUUAUGUAAGAUUUCCCAGAGUUUUCGUUCUCGGAGGGGUUUGGAUCUUGUAACAAAAAUCAAACAACACGAGUAUCACUUUACAUCAAGGCUGAGAGGAGCCUGGAGCUCUUACAACAGAAAAGUCUCCUUUGAAAGAGAGAAAACAGUUGCUGCCUGGCACACAGCAAAGAGCGUUAUAUAAUACAAUUAAAUACUGUUCCCUCGAUCCUCUUUCUUCCUGUUUGCUUUUUCUCACACUCUUCUCUUUCUUUCUUUUUCUCUCUUUAGCCUCUUUACAUCUCCCUUCAUUCAUUCUCUUCUCCCCGAUGUGCUUUGUUAUCUGACGGCCUUUGGCUGUGAAUAGAUAAUGACUGUGCGAGAGGUUUUGUUUACCAUGGAUACCACAGGAUUAGAGUGAUUACUGCUGGUGCCAGUGUUGUAACAAGCCGGGGAAGCCUUCCACGGUGUAUGGAGGUGCUGACAGUUAUCCUGUACAAGAUUAGAGAACUUGUAUUAUGGGUUGUUUUUCUCCACCUGGUGAUGAGAGAGUCGGAGAAAAGGCCGAGCGUCACAAUGCCGGAGCCUGGAGGAGCGGGGCCGCCUCCAACAUUCGCUUGUUCAUUCUCCAGACUCGUGUAGCUGUAGAUGUUAGCCGUGGAAGCGACGUCACUUUCCACCUUGACCUUUCACCUCUGUAUUCCCAGAUGUCUCCAGAGAUGGUUCCUCUACCUCCAACUAAGCUCUCCUGUGGUCAGAGCCCAAGACGGUGUUCAGUUUCACAGCUUCUCUCUUCUUGGCCCCAGCACAAAUACACAACACCCUCUCCGAUUGCACUUGAUAAUAUUUAUCCUCAAUUAUAAUUCCACAGAUAUGGAUUCUUGAGUGGAGUACAGUGGCAGCAGACAAAGCAGAACGGCCUUGAGCCCUUGCUGAGGUGGGUUCCUGCAUUAACCCCAGACAAUUCAUGUUCUCCUCAGCAGUGGGGCAAAAUAAGCAAUGCGGCCAUUAAGGGCUCCAGUAUAAUGGGGAAACACUUGGCUGUAUAUUUGUCCUCGCGGUGAGUGCAUGCAUCGCGAGACUGAAAUGUGAAACUAGCUAGAACACAAACGGAGAGUUGCAUGUAGGGGGUGGUCACAGUUUAAAUAAAUGAAUUCAGCUUCUUGAGAGCCGCAGCCUUGUCUGCUUUUCCUCCUGAAGUGGGUCAUGUCGAAGAUUAGUGAAUAAACUUUAGAAUAGAAGCACUCGAUAAACCAGAGAAGUGUUAAUAAUUGAAACACGUGAAUACAGGUUUGAGAAAAAAAAAAAACCUGAAUUGACUCCUCAGUCUCGUGAUUUUGAAGGUGGUUUUAACUUAUCAAAUUAUCAAUGAAACAAGACUGUAAGAACUUUGGUUUUACUGGUUUUUGUUUGAAUGUAAGCGAAGGAAAGAGAUCAUGGAUGGAUUUUGAAAAAACUCCAAAAAUUGCCCUCUAAGUCCUUUUCUAUUUUCUUUUCCUAAACUCUAAUUGUAA